GCAGUCGAGCGGUAGAGAGAAGCUUGCUUCUCUUGAGAGCGGCGGACGGGUGAGUAAUGCCUAGGAAUCUGCCUGGUAGUGGGGGAUAACGUUCGGAAACGGACGCUAAUACCGCAUACGUCCUACGGGAGAAAGCAGGGGACCUUCGGGCCUUGCGCUAUCAGAUGAGCCUAGGUCGGAUUAGCUAGUUGGUGGGGUAAUGGCUCACCAAGGCGACGAUCCGUAACUGGUCUGAGAGGAUGAUCAGUCACACUGGAACUGAGACACGGUCCAGACUCCUACGGGAGGCAGCAGUGGGGAAUAUUGGACAAUGGGCGAAAGCCUGAUCCAGCCAUGCCGCGUGUGUGAAGAAGGUCUUCGGAUUGUAAAGCACUUUAAGUUGGGAGGAAGGGUUGUAGAUUAAUACUCUGCAAUUUUGACGUUACCGACAGAAUAAGCACCGGCUAACUCUGUGCCAGCAGCCGCGGUAAUACAGAGGGUGCAAGCGUUAAUCGGAAUUACUGGGCGUAAAGCGCGCGUAGGUGGUUUGUUAAGUUGGAUGUGAAAUCCCCGGGCUCAACCUGGGAACUGCAUUCAAAACUGACUGACUAGAGUAUGGUAGAGGGUGGUGGAAUUUCCUGUGUAGCGGUGAAAUGCGUAGAUAUAGGAAGGAACACCAGUGGCGAAGGCGACCACCUGGACUAAUACUGACACUGAGGUGCGAAAGCGUGGGGAGCAAACAGGAUUAGAUACCCUGGU
This 738-nucleotide ribosomal RNA is filed under the name Pseudomonas sp. Y4_288_1. Its description in RNAcentral is "bacterial SSU rRNA". It matches the Rfam family "Bacterial small subunit ribosomal RNA", at positions 57 to 791 of the family's 1533-position model. Lineage: Bacteria; Pseudomonadati; Pseudomonadota; Gammaproteobacteria; Pseudomonadales; Pseudomonadaceae. The record is from RNAcentral.